GUAGGUGGCAAGCGUUGUCCGGAAUUAUUGGGCGUAAAGCGCGCGCAGGUGGGUUCUUUAAGUCUGAUGUGAAAGCCCCCGGGCUCAACCGGGGAGGGUCAUUGGAAACUGGGGAACUUGAGUGCAGGAGAGGAAAGUGGAAUUCCACGUGUAGCGGUGAAAUGCGUAGAUAUGUGGAGGAACACCAGUGGCGAAGGCGACUUUCUGGCCUGUAACUGACACUGAGGCGCGAAAGCGUGGGGAGCAAACAGGAUUAGAUACCCUGGUGGUCCACGCCGUAAACGAUGAGUGCUAAGUGUUGGGGGGUUUCCGCCCCUCAGUGCUGCAGCUAACGCAUUAAGCACUCCGCCUGGGGAGUACGGUCGCAAGACUG
RNAcentral lists this ribosomal RNA (373 nucleotides) under uncultured organism. RNAcentral describes it as "partial 16S ribosomal RNA". It matches the Rfam family "Bacterial small subunit ribosomal RNA", at positions 527 to 896 of the family's 1533-position model. The record is from RNAcentral.